UGGGGAAGUUUAAGUUAAACAGGUAUC
Molecule: non-coding RNA, 27 nt
Filed under: Homo sapiens (human)
Lineage: Eukaryota; Metazoa; Chordata; Mammalia; Primates; Hominidae
Source: RNAcentral